GAUGAACGCUGGCGGCGUGCCUAAUACAUGCAAGUCGAGCGAACAGACGAGGAGCUUGCUCCUCUGACGUUAGCGGCGGACGGGUGAGUAACACGUGGAUAACCUACCUAUAAGACUGGGAUAACUUCGGGAAACCGGAGCUAAUACCGGAUAAUAUAUUGAACCGCAUGGUUCGAUAGUGAAAGACGGUUUUGCUGUCACUUAUAGAUGGAUCCGCGCCGCAUUAGCUAGUUGGUAAGGUAACGGCUUACCAAGGCAACGAUGCGUAGCCGACCUGAGAGGGUGAUCGGCCACACUGGAACUGAGACACGGUCCAGACUCCUACGGGAGGCAGCAGUAGGGAAUCUUCCGCAAUGGGCGAAAGCUUGACGGAGCAACGCCGCGUGAGUGAUAAAGGUCUUCGGAUCGUAAAACUCUGUUAUUAGGGAAGAACAAAUGUGUAAGUAACUAUGCACGUCUUGACGGUACCUAAUCAGAAAGCCACGGCUAACUACGUG
Molecule: ribosomal RNA, 497 nt
Filed under: uncultured bacterium
Lineage: Bacteria
Description: partial 16S ribosomal RNA
Rfam family: Bacterial small subunit ribosomal RNA
Source: RNAcentral